This is a long non-coding RNA of Scylla paramamosain (green mud crab), 2620 nucleotides long. RefSeq lists it as uncharacterized. The transcript is spliced from 7 exons. NCBI's taxonomy places the organism in Eukaryota, Metazoa, Arthropoda, Malacostraca, Decapoda, Portunidae. The record is from RefSeq and is a predicted model, not a curated record.
GGCAGUUUUGCAUAAUAUUUGGAAUAAUUACAUAUGUACGAUAAUUUUACCAGAAGUACAAUAAUUUCAACCUGUGUAGUACGAUAAUAUGGCCAAAACAAUCUGGCAACGCUGGUGUGUGUAUGUAUGUGUGUGUGUGUGUGUGUGUGUGUGUGUGUGUCAGUCGGUGUGUGGACGCGGGCGUUGGUGGGUGUGGGAGCGCGCCUCGUUAGCGGUAAGGUGGCUCAGGUCGGCCAGUAUCUCGUCCAGCCGCACACUGCUAAAAAGUACAAGUUUACCUGUGUUACCUGACGCUAGGUGAUACAGGUGUGUCUGCUGUGUUGUGCUGUGCUCGAGUCUGUAAGAUGCAGUGGGCGGCUGCUACACUGCUGUGGGCGUGUGUGAGCGGGUUGGCAGCGUUAACAUCAUCCCAACACACCCGCCCACUCUCACGCCCACACCCAGACGCCCAAACGCAAGCUGUGGGCGUCACUGAGGACAGACACGCAGAUGGGAAUGUGAUUUUUGCUCAGAGAAGGACCGGCCUAGCCCCGCCCCCCGCGCCUCCAGUCCCUGAUAAUGAAUUACGGCGACAAUUACAACAACAACUACUACCACAGCUGAGGGAACUACCCCGAGAGACGCCCCCAGCCGCGCCCCACCCGGAUAUCAGUCUUAUCCCUCUGCAGGAGGAAUCGGAGGAAACAUUGCUACUACGGGAGAGAUUUCCUCCAUAUACUGACAAUUUCCCUCCCUUUCCUCAUUCGGGACGUGGCUUUUCCUCUCCUCCUCCUUCUUCUUCUCCUCCUCCUCCUCCUCCUCCUCCUCCUCCUCCUCCUCCUCCUCCUUCUAAUACACUCCCUAAUCUCCAGCCUCCAUCUUUUCCUCCUGUCCCCUCCGCCGGUUCCUCCUCCCCCCCUCCUCGCCUCCCCCAGCCUCCCCUCCCCCGGUGUUCAGUCCCAGCAGACCAGUAAGAGGUACCCCAGUAUCCCCUAUACAAGUGGUCCCUCCUCCUUCUCUUCCUCCUUCUCCUCCUUCUCCUCCUCCUCCUCCUCCUCCUUCUCUUCCUCCUUUUCCUCCCCCCUCCUCAUUCUUCUCUCUCAUCCACAACUCUUUCUUUCCUCAAUUCCUUUCUUCCUGUUCCUCUCCUGACAGCAGAUCCAGACUCACAGUCCUUCCCACAGUCAACAGCACCCACAGCAAGUCCACACAGAGCUCCUAGCACCUUAACACAGCCUACAGGGGACCCAAACAGACCCACAGCCUCUCACAGACCACAUGACCACCCACAGCCCACAGCAAGAGCGAAUAGAUCUCCUAACAGCUUGACACAACCCAUAACAGCCCCUCACAGACCUUCUAAUACAUUGUCACAGCCCACAGCGAACCCAAACAGACCUCAUGACUUCCCACAGCCCACAGCAGCAGACCAGCACACGCCACACGCCCCACAGGUCUUCCUCACAUCUGGUAGACCACACAAACCACCUUUUCCUAGACCCCUUCCAGGACAGACCCAAAACAGACCACGGACGCCCCUGAAACACAGCGCAAAUAGGGACUUAACAUCACCCCCGCGUAGACCACAGCAGGAUGGUAGACCAGGCCAGCUCCACCACUCUCAGCCCUUCCAGCGUAGACCAGGACCCCAGACCAGCCCUAACAAGCCACAGAGACCAAGCAGAGGCCAGAGAGCUUCCUUCAGGAGACAAAGAGGACUCAGAACAACAGGAAGGCGGAGAAGAGAGUCUGUUGUGUUGUUGACAAGGGACCCAUCACACAACCCACAGGCACGCCCACGCCCACGCCCACGACACACGCCCAUAAGAACACGGAGGAGCCUCUCACAACUGAAGGAAGAGGAGGAGGAGGAGGAGGAGGAGGAGGAAGAGGGGGAAGAGGAAGACUUACAAAACAACCCUACAACAAUGACGAAGAAGAGGAGGAGGAGGAGGAGGAAGAGGAUGGAAAUUCACGAUAAAGAGGAAGAGGAAGACAAGAGAAAGAGGAGGAGGAGAGAAACUGAAGACGAUAAAGAGAACGAAGAAAAGAGAAAAAACAGAAGAGAAACUGAUAAAGAAGAGGAAGAAAAAGAGAAGAAGAAAGGAAGGAAGAAGAAAGGUGUGAUACAUUCAGUGAGAGGAAGAUUAGAGAAGAUGGAGGAGGAGAGUAAGAGGAGUGGGAGAGGAGGUGAGCAGGCGUCUGGAGAAGCUCAUGGGCGGGGGUGAGGCGAGGUGUGGGCGCCAUGGGAAGAGUGGCGGGAGAGGUAGCGGGGGCGGGCGUGGGUAGCGGCGGGGGAAGCUGGAUACAAUCUUCUACAGAAGGUUAAGGAGAACCAGUCCACGCCUCUGCCAAGCCCUCACACCCGCACCCUCGCCACAGGACUCCAGCUGACAGUGCCCCACGAGAGCCACGUCAACAAACACAGGGUGGGUGUUCGUCUGGAUAUCCUCCCCCACGCCCCCCGCCGCCUCAUCCCCCCUCUCGCUCUCUCCCUCGACUUCCGCACUCUCACCUCCCCCCUCUCAGUCGCCAAGCCAACCCCCGUGCCCUUCCUAGGACCCUACACCCACGACCACACCUACUACCACCGCCCACACUCGCCCAUCCACGCCCACGCUGAGGAAAGAAGAAAAGAAGA